This 440-nucleotide ribosomal RNA is filed under the name uncultured bacterium. Its description in RNAcentral is "partial 16S ribosomal RNA". It matches the Rfam family "Bacterial small subunit ribosomal RNA", at positions 338 to 795 of the family's 1533-position model. The record is from RNAcentral.
CCUACGGGGAGCAGCAGUGGGGAAUAUUGCACAAUGGGGGAAACCCUGAUGCAGCGACGCCGCGUGAGUGAAGAAGUAAUUCGUUAUGUAAAGCUCUAUCAGCAGGGAAGAAAAUGACGGUACCUGAGUAAGAAGCCCCGGCUAACUACGUACCAGCAGCCGCGGUAAUACGUAGGGGGCAAGCGUUAUCCGGAUUUACUGGGUGUAAAGGGAGCGUAGGCGGCAGUGCAAGUCUGGAGUGAAAGGCGUGGGAUCAACCCCCGGACUGCUCUGGAAACUGUACGGCUGGAGUGCAGGAGAGGUAAGUGGAAUUCCUGGUGUAGCGGUGAAAUGCGUAGAUAUUGGGAGGAACACCAGUGGCGAAGGCGGCUUGCUGGACUUUAACUGACGUUGAGGCUCGAAAGCGUGGGGAGCAAACAGGAUUAGAUACCCUUGUAGUC